CCUACGGGAGGCUGCAGUGGGGAAUAUUGGACAAUGGGCGAAAGCCUGAUCCAGCCAUGCCGCGUGUGUGAAGAAGGCCUUCGGGUUGUAAAGCACUUUCAGUGGGGAAGAAAGCCUUGGGGCUAAUACCCUCGAGGAAGGACAUCACCCACAGAAGAAGCACCGGCUAACUCCGUGCCAGCAGCCGCGGUAAUACGGAGGGUGCGAGCGUUAAUCGGAAUUACUGGGCGUAAAGCGCGCGUAGGCGGUCUGAUAAGCCGGUUGUGAAAGCCCCGGGCUCAACCUGGGAACGGCAUCCGGAACUGUCAGGCUAGAGUGCAGGAGAGGAAGGUAGAAUUCCCGGUGGAGCGGUGAAAUGCGUAGAGAUCGGGAGGAAUAACAGUGGCGAAGGCGGCCUUCUGGACUGACACUGACGCUGAGGUGCGAAAGCGUGGGUAGCAAACAGGAUUAGAUACCCGAGUAGUC
Molecule: ribosomal RNA, 465 nt
Filed under: Vreelandella stevensii
Lineage: Bacteria; Pseudomonadati; Pseudomonadota; Gammaproteobacteria; Oceanospirillales; Halomonadaceae
Description: partial 16S ribosomal RNA
Rfam family: Bacterial small subunit ribosomal RNA
Source: RNAcentral